UCCCGGAGAGACACUGUUCUCACCUCAGUACCCGUGUCCUGAGCAAAAUCCUUCCGGCAGAUGUGGGCCAUGAUGCCCGCCGCCAGCGCGUCACCCAGCACGUUUAUCAUGGUGCGGAAGCGGUCCCUGGCAAGCCAAGGGAUUAAACUUGGAGCCCUGUGAGACUAGGCCCGUAUCCUGCCACUGAACUCCACCCAGGCCCAGCAUUCCAUGUCCAAGGCCUGAAAGGCAACGCAGACCUGGCUUUCACAGUGUUGGAGGCUGAGCUCUGUCAUGCUGCCCCGUUACCCACCUCCAGGAGUCUCUGAUCACGCCCCAACAGCCUCUUGCUGGCUGUGGGUCUUGUGCGUGCAACUACAGAACCAGAAGGGACCCUGGAAAGGAGAAGCGCCCACCCAAGGCCACAGUGGCUUCUGAUUGACAGCAGAAGAGAGUGAAGACUUCAGGACUCGUCCCCCAGGAAGCGUGUGACUCUCCCGGAAGCCCUGAGAUGUGGUACCCAGCCACACAGCUAUGCAGAGGCUCAGAGCACAAGGAUUGAUUUCACCAUGUGAGGAGCCCCUGAGACCAGACCCACGCUGGAACAUUUGACCCCGACACACGUGUGGGACCCAGAGCCUGGCCGCCCUGAGCGGGGCAAGGCAAGUGGGGAAGGCCAGGCUCCCCACAUAUCAGCAGCUUUUGCCACCCUGUAGAAAAGCUGUUUUGAAUCAGGGUCCGAGAAACGAUGGCUCCCAGGAGAAUAAUCCUAGAAACAACGGGUCUUAGAGGGUCUCGCAAAGUGGCCUCAAGUACGCCUGUUCUCCUGCCACGCCUCCUGCCCCUGUCAGCCCCACCAGGCAGCCUGCAGAGUUGCCAAGGACCACUGCAUCCUCUGCUGUGAUGAUAACCAAUGGAUUAAACCUCUGAACUGUAAGCCAGCCCUGAUUAAAUGUUUUCCUUUGUAAGA
Molecule: long non-coding RNA, 949 nt
Organism: Meriones unguiculatus (Mongolian gerbil)
Lineage: Eukaryota; Metazoa; Chordata; Mammalia; Rodentia; Muridae
Exons: 2
Source: RefSeq, a predicted model, not a curated record